GAUGAACGCUGGCGGCGUGCCUAAUACAUGCAAGUCGAGCGAACAGAUGAGGCGCUUGCUCGUCUGACGUUAGAGGCGGACGGGUGAGUAACACGUGGAUAACCUACCUAUCAGACUGGGAUAACUUCGGGAAACCGGAGCUAAUACCGGAUAAUAUAUUGAUCUUCAUGGUUCAAUAGUGAUAGAUGGUUUUGCUGUCACUUAUAGAUAGAACGUCGCCGAAUUAGCUAGUGGGUAAGAUAAGGGCUUACCACGGCAACGAUGCGUAGCAGACCUCAGAGGGUGAUCGGCAACACUGGAACUGAGACACGGUCCAGACUCCUACGGGAGGAGCCGGUAGGGAAUCUUCGGAAAUGGGCGAAAGCCUGCCGGAGCAACGCGGCGUGGGUGAUGAGGGUCUUGGGAUCGUAAAACUCUGUUAUUGGGAAGGAACAAAUGUGUAAUUAAAUAUGCACGUCUUGACGGUACCUAAUCAGAAAGCCACGGCUAACUACGUG
RNAcentral lists this ribosomal RNA (497 nucleotides) under uncultured bacterium. RNAcentral describes it as "partial 16S ribosomal RNA". It matches the Rfam family "Bacterial small subunit ribosomal RNA", at positions 28 to 507 of the family's 1533-position model. The record is from RNAcentral.